Non-coding RNA from Physcomitrium patens, 392 nucleotides. The record is from RefSeq and is a predicted model, not a curated record. NCBI's taxonomy places the organism in Eukaryota, Viridiplantae, Streptophyta, Bryopsida, Funariales, Funariaceae.
UACUGAUUGCUGCGCUUGUUUUGUCUGAUGGUUGCUUCGUCCUGCCGUGAGUUGAACACGCAGUCAGCUUUCGAGCUCUACUGAUGUAGUGAAAGUUCGUGACGGGCUUCCCACUUCACAUUUAUUGAGUAGCAAGUAGCGCUGAUCGAAUUUCUUCUGUGGUGUUUAGCGACUACAAGGACAUGCUACGGCAAGGUAUGUGUUCAGCUUUGGGGGAGAAUGGUUAGAGUUCCCGGAACGAAUCAAGCAGUUUGGCUGUAGACGGAGACUCGUAAACCACCGAUUUGACUUGAAGCGACUAUGCAUCGAUAUUGGGUGUGUGCUCUUCCAUCUGAUUAAGCGGGUAGGCAACACGGCACUGUUGUGUAGUUGCUAUAUCUACUGUUGACGAA